This 1677-nucleotide ribosomal RNA is filed under the name Acheilognathus omeiensis. Its description in RNAcentral is "16S ribosomal RNA". It matches the Rfam family "Bacterial large subunit ribosomal RNA". Lineage: Eukaryota; Metazoa; Chordata; Actinopteri; Cypriniformes; Acheilognathidae. The record is from RNAcentral.
GCCAAACAGCUAGCCCAAAAAUUUUAAAGAUCAACAACAUUAACAUGUGGGACAGUAUUUUAACUACUAAAUUAAAUCAUUCUUUUACCUGAGUAUGGGAGACAGAAAAGGUUAAACUUGGAGCCAUAGAAAAAGUACCGCAAGGGAAAGCUGAAAGAGAAAUGAAAUAACCCAUAAAAGCAAUAAGAAGCAAAGAUUAAAUCUUGUACCUUUUGCAUCAUGAUUUAGCAAGCACCUUCAAGCAAAGAGCCCUAUAGUUUGAAACCCCGAAACCAAGUGAGCUACCCCGAGACAGCCUAUGUAAAUUAGGGCAAACCCGUCUCUGUGGCAAAAGAGUGGGAAGAGCUCCGGGUAGAAGUGACAGACCUACCGAACUUGGUGAUAGCUGGUUGCUUAAGAAAUGGAUAGAAGUUCAGCCCCAUACCCCCUCAAGCCAAAACUGCAUUACCAAAUGACCAAGAGAGAGAUAUGGGAGUUAGUUAAAGGGGGUACAGCCCCUUUAACCAAGGAUACAACCUUUUUAGGAGAAUAAAGAUCAUAAUUUUAAAGACUUACUGUUUUAGUGGGCCCAAAGGCAGCCAUCUGAAUAGAAAGCGUUAAAGCUCAGACAGAAUAUAGUUUAUUGUACCGAUAAAACAUCUUACUUCCCUUAAAUUAUUAAGCCAACCCAUGCCCCCAUGGGAGAAAUUAUGCUAAAAUGAGUAACGAGAAGGCCCGCCCUUCUCCCAGCACAAGUGUAAGUCAGAUUGGACAGACCACUGAAAAUUAACGAACCCAAACCAAGAGGGCAAUGUGAUUCAUGAGAAAACCAAGAAGCGCCCACAAUCAAUAAUCGUUAACCUCACACCAGAGUGCAACAAGGGAAAGACUAAAAGAGGGGGAAGGAACUCGGCAAACACAAGCCUCGCCUGUUUACCAAAAACAUCGCCUCCUGCAACUUUUUAAGUAUAGGAGGUCCAGCCUGCCCAGUGACUACGGGUUCAACGGCCGCGGUAUUUUGACCGUGCAAAGGUAGCGCAAUCACUUGUCUUUUAAAUAAAGACCUGUAUGAAUGGCUAGACGAGGGCUUAACUGUCUCCCCCCUCCAGUCAGUGAAAUUGAUCUAUCCGUGCAGAAGCGGGUAUGCCACUACAAGACGAGAAGACCCUUUGGAGCUUAAGGUACAAAACUUAAUCACGUUAAACAACUUAACAAAGAGAUAAGAACUUAGUGGCGUAUAAGAUUUUACCUUCGGUUGGGGCGACCACGGAGGAAAAACAAGCCUCCAAGUGGAACGGGUACAUACCCUUAAGCCUAGAGAGACUUCUCUACGCCACAGAACAUCUGACCAAUAAUGAUCCGGCGUAAAGCCGAUCAACGGACCAAGUUACCCUAGGGAUAACAGCGCAAUCCUCUCCCAGAGUUCAUAUCGACGAGGGGGUUUACGACCUCGAUGUUGGAUCAGGACAUCCUAAUGGUGCAGCCGCUAUUAAGGGUUCGUUUGUUCAACGAUUAAAGUCCUACGUGAUCUGAGUUCAGACCGGAGCAAUCCAGGUCAGUUUCUAUCUGUAACGCUACUUUUCCUAGUACGAAAGGAUCGGAAAAGGGGGGCCCAUGCUUGGAGUAUGCCCCACCCCUAAUUAAUGAAAACAAAUAAAGUAAGUAAAGGGAGGGCCAAAGCCCAACGCCAAAAUAAGG